AGCUCCUGUCGCUCGCAUAUUGUCCGCCUGUCUCAGUGUGCGUGUGACAGCGGCUGU
RNAcentral lists this microRNA precursor (57 nucleotides) under Petromyzon marinus (sea lamprey). Its description in RNAcentral is "Pma-Mir-210_pre stem-loop". The record is from RNAcentral. Lineage: Eukaryota; Metazoa; Chordata; Hyperoartia; Petromyzontiformes; Petromyzontidae.